Long non-coding RNA from Cydia pomonella (codling moth), 291 nucleotides. RefSeq lists it as uncharacterized. Lineage: Eukaryota; Metazoa; Arthropoda; Insecta; Lepidoptera; Tortricidae. The transcript is spliced from 2 exons. The record is from RefSeq and is a predicted model, not a curated record.
AGACUCAAGGACACAUGGAUAGUCUUCCCAGGAAUUGAGAGGUGUUCAGGAGGCAUAUGGGGUUGCUAACAUUUUAGGCACAGUAGACUGCACCCAAGUAAAAAUAUUUCCAUAACCUUUACCGCAUGGCGUACAGUUUCUAAACAGAAAAGGAAUUCAUUCGCUAAACGUUCAGUUGAAAUCUUCCAAUAAAAGGCGAACCUGAAGCGGAAAUGGAAGGGGGCGCUGCUCGAGGGAUGCAUUACAUGCAGAGAAGCGUGCCCUAUUAAUAAAUAAAUAUUUCGCCUAGUA